GAUGAACGCUGGCGGCGUGCCUAAUACAUGCAAGUCGAGCGAACAGACGAGGAGCUUGCUCCUCUGACGUUAGCGGCGGACGGGUGAGUAACACGUGGAUAACCUACCUAUAAGACUGGGAUAACUUCGGGAAACCGGAGCUAAUACCGGAUAACAUGUUGAACCGCAUGGUUCAACAGUGAAAGACGGUCCUGCUGUCACUUAUAGAUGGAUCCGCGCCGCAUUAGCUAGUUGGUAAGGUAACGGCUUACCAAGGCAACGAUGCGUAGCCGACCUGAGAGGGUGAUCGGCCACACUGGAACUGAGACACGGUCCAGACUCCUACGGGAGGCAGCAGUAGGGAAUCUUCCGCAAUGGGCGAAAGCCUGACGGAGCAACGCCGCGUGAGUGAUGAAGGUCUUCGGAUCGUAAAACUCUGUUAUUAGGGAAGAACAAAUGUGUAAGUAACUAUGCACGUCUUGACGGUACCUAAUCAGAAAGCCACGGCUAACUACGUG
RNAcentral lists this ribosomal RNA (497 nucleotides) under uncultured bacterium. RNAcentral's name for it is "partial 16S ribosomal RNA". It matches the Rfam family "Bacterial small subunit ribosomal RNA", at positions 28 to 507 of the family's 1533-position model. The record is from RNAcentral.